Molecule: ribosomal RNA, 440 nt
Filed under: uncultured bacterium
Lineage: Bacteria
Description: partial 16S ribosomal RNA
Rfam family: Bacterial small subunit ribosomal RNA
Source: RNAcentral
CCUACGGGUGGCAGCAGUGGGGAAUAUUGCACAAUGGGGGAAACCCUGAUGCAGCGACGCCGCGUGAGCGAUGAAGUAUUUCGGUAUGUAAAGCUCUAUCAGCAGGGAAGAAAAUGACGGUACCUGACUAAGAAGCCCCGGCUAACUACGUGCCAGCAGCCGCGGUAAUACGUAGGGGGCAAGCGUUAUCCGGAUUUACUGGGUGUAAAGGGAGCGUAGACGGUCCUGCAAGCCAGAUGUGAAAGCCCGGGGCUCAACGUGGGAACUGCCUUUGAAACUGGCAAACUGGAGUGUGUGAGGGGAUAGUGGAAUUCCAGGUGUAGGAGUGAAAUCCGUAGAUAUCUGGAGGAACAUCAGUGGCGAAGGCGACUAUCUGGAACAUAACUGACGCUGAGGAGCGAAAGCGUGGGUAGCAAACAGGAUUAGAUACCCCGGUAGUC